GGAUUAGAUACCCUGGUAGUCCACGCCGUAAACGAUGUCGACUAGCCGUUGGAUUCCUUGAGGAUUUAGUGGCGCAGCUAACGCGAUAAGUCGACCGCCUGGGGAGUACGGCCGCAAGGUUAAAACUCAAAUGAAUUGACGGGGGCCCGCACAAGCGGUGGAGCAUGUGGUUUAAUUCGACGCAACGCGAAGAACCUUACCAGGUCUUGACAUCCAGAGAACUUACUAGAGAUAGUUUGGUGCCUUCGGGAACUCUGUGACAGGUGCUGCAUGGCUGUCGUCAGCUCGUGCCG
RNAcentral lists this ribosomal RNA (293 nucleotides) under uncultured bacterium. RNAcentral describes it as "partial 16S ribosomal RNA". It matches the Rfam family "Bacterial small subunit ribosomal RNA", at positions 775 to 1067 of the family's 1533-position model. The record is from RNAcentral.